GACGAACGCUGGCGGCAUGCCUAACACAUGCAAGUCGAACGAGACCGUCGGGACUAGUUUCGCACGGGUGCGUAACGCGUGGGAACCGGCCCUUAGGCUCGGAAUAACUCCCCGAAAGGGGUGCUAAUACCGGCUAAAGUCUGCGGACCAAAGAUUUAUAGCCCCUGGUUGGGCCCGAGUUGGAUUAGCUAGUUGGUAGGGUAAAAGCCUACCAAGGCGACGAUCCAUAGCUGGUCUGAGAGGAGGAACAGCCACACUAGGACUGAGACACGGCGCAGAAGCCUACCGGAGGCAGCGGUCGAGAAUCUUAGCCAGCGGGCCAGAGCGUGAGCCAGCAACGUCGGGUGAGUAAUGCAGGGCUUAGGGUUGUAAAGCUAUUUUACACGAGAUGAUAAUGACGGUACCGGGCGAAUAAGCCCCGGCUAACUACGUG
RNAcentral lists this ribosomal RNA (433 nucleotides) under uncultured bacterium. Its description in RNAcentral is "partial 16S ribosomal RNA". It matches the Rfam family "Bacterial small subunit ribosomal RNA", at positions 28 to 507 of the family's 1533-position model. The record is from RNAcentral.